UACGUAGGGUGCUAGCGUUGUUCGGAAUCAUUGGGCGUAAAGCGCGUGUAGGCUGUCAGUUAAGUCGGGUGUGAAAUCCCUGGGCUCAACCGAGGAAGUGCAUCCGAAACUAACUGGCUAGAAGACGGCAGAGGAAGGUGGAAUUCCAAGUGUAGAGGUGAAAUUCGUAGAUAUUUGGAGGAAUACCGGUGGCGAAGGCGGCCUUCUGGACCGAUCUUGACGCUGAGACGCGAAAGCGUGGGGAGCAAACAGG
Molecule: ribosomal RNA, 253 nt
Filed under: uncultured bacterium
Lineage: Bacteria
Description: partial 16S ribosomal RNA
Rfam family: Bacterial small subunit ribosomal RNA
Source: RNAcentral